Molecule: ribosomal RNA, 253 nt
Filed under: uncultured bacterium
Lineage: Bacteria
Description: partial 16S ribosomal RNA
Rfam family: Bacterial small subunit ribosomal RNA
Source: RNAcentral
UACGGAGGAUCCGAGCGUUAUCCGGAUUUAUUGGGUUUAAAGGGUGCGUAGGCGGCCUGUUAAGUCAGGGGUGAAAUACGGUGGCUCAACCAUCGCAGUGCCUUUGAUACUGACGGGCUUGAAUCCAUAUGAAGUGGGCGGAAUAAGACAAGUAGCGGUGAAAUGCAUAGAUAUGUCUUAGAACUCCGAUUGCGAAGGCAGCUCACUAAGCUGGUAUUGACGCUGAUGCACGAAAGCGUGGGGAUCGAACAGG